AAAUAUUAAUGACUUCCUUAUACUCCUUAAAUGACAGUCAUAAGGGCCCGGGCCUACCUCCAGCAACAGUGACCUCCGCCGACUUUUCCCGACCCCCGGGUCACAGGGUCGGACGCGCCUGAUCCCCCGAGGCUGCUCCUCAUCCCAGCCGAGAGAGUUCCACCUCGCCCGACCCCCGGGCGGGAGGGGUCGGACACUGCAGGUCUCCGCCUCGCCCGACCCCGGGCGCAAGGGGUCGGACAUGCCUGACCCCUCGUCGCAAGGCCCUGUCUCACCUGACCCUGGGUGCUAAGGGUCGGACAUAUCCAGGCCCACAGGACAGAGCUUCAACUUGCCAAGGACAUGCGCGGACCAGCAGAUGAGGGUGCAGAUCUUGUGGGCCCCCACUGAUCUCACCAUAAAUGCAACCGAUGGGACGCCCAUCUCCAGAAUACGGCUCUGACACACGGAGGG
Molecule: long non-coding RNA, 453 nt
Filed under: Setaria viridis
Lineage: Eukaryota; Viridiplantae; Streptophyta; Magnoliopsida; Poales; Poaceae
Description: long non-coding RNA (SVIR_LNC004552)
Source: RNAcentral